AAAAGUAAAAGCACAAUUAGGAAAAUGUUUACGGCCACCUAUUAGUUGCGUAAAUGAAGACAAUGAUAUUUAUAACACUGAACGUUGAUCAUGAUUCCCUUUUUUUUCUACAAGUUUUGAAAGUUUACACAAUAAUAGGUUGAACAGUGUCAAAGCGUCAUAAGAGACCAUUAGACGUCUACCCGCUUAAAAUACGGUGAUGUGUAGCUGAAUAGCAAGAUUUCUAUUUCAUAGUCAAAUAAUAUUUACGGUCUAAAGGUCAUUUUUCAAAGCUACAACCGGAAUC
Long non-coding RNA from Aphis gossypii (cotton aphid), 286 nucleotides. RefSeq lists it as uncharacterized. The transcript is spliced from 3 exons. The record is from RefSeq and is a predicted model, not a curated record. NCBI's taxonomy places the organism in Eukaryota, Metazoa, Arthropoda, Insecta, Hemiptera, Aphididae.